Molecule: ribosomal RNA, 434 nt
Filed under: uncultured bacterium
Lineage: Bacteria
Description: partial 16S ribosomal RNA
Rfam family: Bacterial small subunit ribosomal RNA
Source: RNAcentral
AGCGAACGCUGGCGGCAGGCCUAACACAUGCAAGUCGAACGAACCUUUCGGGGUUAGUGUCGGACGGGUGAGUAACACGUGGGAACGUGCCUUUAGGUUCGGAAUAACUCAGGGAAACUUGUGCUAAUACCGAAUGUGCCCUUCGGGGGAAAGAUUUAUCGCCUUUAGAGCGGCCCGCGUCUGAUUAGCUAGUUGGUUGAGGUAAUGGCUCACCAAGGCGACGAUAGGUAGCUGGUCUGAGAGGAUGAUCAGACACAUUGGGACUGAGACACGGCCCAGACUCCUGCGGGAGGCAGCAGUGGGGAAUCUUGCGAAAUGGGCGAAAGCCUGACGCAGCCAUGCCGGGUGAAUGAUGAAGGUCUUAGGAUUGUAAAAUUCUUUCACCGGGGACGAUAAUGACGGUACCCGAAGAAGAAGCCCCGGCUAACUUCGUG